RNAcentral lists this ribosomal RNA (476 nucleotides) under uncultured Candidatus Scalindua sp. RNAcentral's name for it is "bacterial SSU rRNA". It matches the Rfam family "Bacterial small subunit ribosomal RNA", at positions 365 to 831 of the family's 1533-position model. Lineage: Bacteria; Pseudomonadati; Planctomycetota; Candidatus Brocadiia; Candidatus Brocadiales; Candidatus Scalinduaceae. The record is from RNAcentral.
UUCGCAAUGCCCGAAAGGGUGACGAAGCGACGCCGCGUGGAUGAAGAAGGCCUUCGGGUUGUAAAAUCCUGUCAGGAGUUAAGAAAUAUAAGUUUGAGAAUAUCGAAUUUAUUUGACAAAAGCUUCAGAGGAAGCCACGGCUAACUCUGUGCCAGCAGCCGCGGUAAUACAGAGGUGGCAAGCGUUGUUCGGAAUUAUUGGGCGUAAAGAGCACGUAGGUGGAUUUGUUAGUCAGAUGUGAAAGCCUUUUGUUCAACGGAAGAAUUGCAUCUGAAACUACAAACCUUGAGUGUAGGAGGGGAGAAUGGAACUUCUGGUGGAGCGGUGAAAUGCGUAGAUAUCAGAAGGAACGCCGGCGGCGAAAGCGAUUCUCUGGCCUAUUACUGACACUGAGUGUGCGAAAGCUAGGGGAGCAAACGGGAUUAGAUACCCCGGUAGUCCUAGCCGUAAACGAUGGGACUAAGUAGAGGGGUUUU